GUGGGUAACCUGCCCAAGAGAUCGGGAUAACACCUGGAAACAGAUGCUAAUACCGGAUAACAACAGAUGAUGCCUAUCAACUGUUUAAAAGAUGGUUCUGCUAUCACUCUUGGAUGGACCUGAGGUGCAUUAGCUAGUUGGUAGGGUAACGGCCUACCAAGGCGAUGAUGCAUAGCCGAGUUGAGAUACUGAUCGGCCACAUUGGGACUGAGACACGGCCCAAACCUCCGUACGGGAGGCAGCAGCC
This 247-nucleotide ribosomal RNA is filed under the name uncultured Lactobacillus sp. Its description in RNAcentral is "partial 16S ribosomal RNA". It matches the Rfam family "Bacterial small subunit ribosomal RNA", at positions 117 to 355 of the family's 1533-position model. Lineage: Bacteria; Bacillati; Bacillota; Bacilli; Lactobacillales; Lactobacillaceae. The record is from RNAcentral.